Molecule: ribosomal RNA, 501 nt
Filed under: uncultured bacterium
Lineage: Bacteria
Description: partial 16S ribosomal RNA
Rfam family: Bacterial small subunit ribosomal RNA
Source: RNAcentral
AUUGAACGCUGGCGGCAUGCCUUACACAUGCAAGUCGAACGGCAGCACGGGUGCUUGCACCUGGUGGCGAGUGGCGAACGGGUGAGUAAUAUAUCGGAACGUACCUUAUUGUGGGGGAUAACGCAGCGAAAGCUGUGCUAAUACCGCAUAAUCCCUAAGGGGGAAAGCGGGGGACCGUAAGGCCUCGCGCAAUUAGAGCGGCCGAUACCUGAUUAGCUAGUUGGUGAGGUAAAGGCUCACCAAGGCAACGAUCAGUAGCUGGUCUGAGAGGAAGGUCAGCCACACUGGGACUGAGACACGGCCCAGACUCCUACGGGAGGCAGCAGUGGGGAAUUUUGGACAAUGGAGGCAAGCCUGAUCCAGCAAGGCCGCGUGAGUGAAGAAGGCCUUCGGGUUGUAAAGCUCUUUUGUCAGGGAAGAAACAGCAGCUCUAACACAGUUUGCGAAUGACGGUACCUGAAGAAUAAGCACCGGCUAACUACGUGCCAGCCGCCGCUGUAA